This is a non-coding RNA of Vicugna pacos (alpaca), 2659 nucleotides long. NCBI's taxonomy places the organism in Eukaryota, Metazoa, Chordata, Mammalia, Artiodactyla, Camelidae. The record is from RefSeq and is a predicted model, not a curated record.
GCGAGACCAGGAAAUCCUGACGAGGGCGGGCACCCGCUGAAUGAAGAAAGUAGAACGGUUGUGCUAUUUCCUGUUUACUUCACGGUAGUUACCUUAGCGGUCACCAUUGUUACCGAAACACCAGGUUCGAUAGUUCUCUGCUUCUUACCCUUUUGGUGAUCUUGGCAAAGGACACCAUGUUAGAGGGUGACACUUUGGCCUCAGACAUCAUCCGUUUUCUGCUGGCAUAGUAUGAAUCUCAUCAAGUGCAGUCUUAGCUCCUGUCUCAGCCAGGCGGGCAGAGGAUGCCCCAGUUUGUGCAGCAGCUUGGAGAGUUCCACGUUGUGAUCACGAUAGUAGCUGGACAGAAAUGCUCUGCUCUGGGGCCAGAGGAGGAGAUGAAAGGAUAUUUCAUUUUGAUUGUCAAAGUAUAUACUUUGUAUACUUGGACAAUAUUUAAAUCUGUAUCAAGUACGUGGUACUGGUUUAAAACUGGUGUAAAGCAUAUGGACUGUUAAUUUAGCACAAUAUAAACACAGGGACUCUGUUCUUCAAAAUACAUACUUUGCACAUAUAACGCUGUUUUUACUAGGGAAUGGGCUUUCCUAUCAGGUAUGUGACCUAUCUGUGCAGAGUUAAAUGUUAAAACAACUAGACUGAGUUGCUAGAAAUAUAGCUGUAGCAACUGACUGGGCCUAAUAUUACGCUCUAUUAAAAUCAUCCUGGCUUUGGAGAAAGAGCUGAUUUGGUAAAUCUAUAAAAUCAAAUAUUCUUUUGUCAUCAUUAAUUUACAUUUAGAUUUUAAAUAUAAUAUUUUCUUAAGAGAUCUUUUAAGGCAUAUAUACAAAGUACUCACUGCUAAAACAGUACUUUGGUAAACCUUAAAAAAAUGUAGUAGGUAAACCUGUAACCUGGUAUGUUUUAUUAUUUGACACAAGGAAGGGAAGGAAUACCCUGCAAACUGUUCUGACUCACACAGAGGCAGAUUUCCCUUCAAUAAAGACAAAUAACUGAAAUGGUCAGAAGUGGAAAGUGCUGAUGGCAUUUAGUGGGGUUUAUAUGCAGUGUAGAUGACGUUACUAGGAAUGUUGUGAAGGGGGAUUUCUGCAUCUGUAUCUGUAACCUCCCUGCUUUAGACUAUUCUGAGGUUUUUUAAUUGAGCUGAAUCUUUAAGAAGUUUUUAUUUAAUUCCUUGUGUGCUGUUUGUUUUAAACACAUAGAGAAACAUUUCACCUUGUAUUGAUAAUUUCACUAUAACAUAGUGAUUUUUGCCGUAAUUAUGAUCAUUGGAACGAGACUGAACAUUUGUACUAUAUUCUAACAUUACUGUGAUCAAGGGAGAACCCAAACCUUUGUGUAGUUUAUGCAUCAGUCUGUCUCAUUUCUCUGUUUCUGGUCUUCAGUCAUUAGCUCUAAACCACUGACAAGCCCAGCUGGCAGACCCAGGCCAGGGAACGGUAUGGAUAAAUGAUAUUUCCCAGAUACCCCACCCAGGGGCCUGCUCAUCCUAUGCCCUUUUUGCUGCCAGCCAGGUCUGGACUCCAUGAAUGAGCUCUAGGUCUUAAUGCAGAGUCUGAGUUUUGAAUUUACCCACUGUGUUCUCUCUUACCAUCUCACUUUGCAUUGUUCCUCUUUACAAUGGAAGCCUUGUUUAGAAAAAUAGCAGCCCAGGGCUGCCCAGCUCCUGCCAGCUUGCCCCCUAAUAUUUCCCAUAUGGCAAAGGAUUAUCCAACAUCUUAACUAACUUUAGAAUUGAACCUUCUGGGUCUAUAUAUACUACACAUCCCUUUGGCUCAUACCUUUUAAUACUGAGGAUUAUCUUACCUCAAUUUAUUGGCCUUUUUGGCAUUAUCUUCAAACCUUGCUGCUGAUAUCAGGGCUGCUUUUGUAGUCACCCCCUGGUCCUGUGCCCCAUUAUGUGUGUAUGUCUGUCCUCAUAAUCAUGUCCCCAUAAUCAAGUACCCCUUCCUCUUGUUGCUCUGCUCCCUCAUGCGGCAAGAUAACUGAUAACAGGAUUUGCAAAGUACACCAUGCCCUAUUUGAGAGUCUAAUAUGCUCAGGCCAGAACUUACUAGGACAGAAAUCAGUGAUGUGCAGGAUUCAUCGUACACACAUUACCUGAUGAUCAUUCAAAGAGGGGACUAUUUUAGAUGGUGAGAUCACAGAUAAUAUAUAUGCUAAUGUAUGCUAAUGUAGUCUACUUCAUGAAAACUCGUGAAAUUAAUGUAAUAAGAGGGAAUAAUAAUAAUAUAUACUUUUAUCAUAUAAAAUAUGAUAAGAUAAGGAAUCACAUAGUAACUUCAAUUAUCAGGUUGUUUAUUGUUUAAAGAAUCUAUCAAAUGCUUUUGAUUUGAAGAGGUGAUAGACUUAGUGGUUAAUAUAAAAUGUCAGUUUUUAUUCCUUUCGUGUAAUAUAUUUUGAUCAACAAAGUCAGAGUGGAAGCAGGCCAACAACGUUCUUAAUUUCCAGGAUGAAAUGCAUCCUUUGAUGUUUUAGAGAUAGUUGUAGGGAAGGGUGCUGGUGUUUUUCUGUAGUAGAAGGAGAACAAGCAGUGUGGUGACAGUUCUGCCUACUCUGAUGUUCCACACGUUUGUUUCCAGUACCUCCAUGAAGUGUCCUGAGAGGUCACUAUUUGCACAAAAUCAGCUACUCUACUCCCUCAAGUAAACCUAGUAUGUAU